Molecule: ribosomal RNA, 245 nt
Filed under: uncultured bacterium
Lineage: Bacteria
Description: partial 16S ribosomal RNA
Rfam family: Bacterial small subunit ribosomal RNA
Source: RNAcentral
UACAGAGGGUGCGAGCGUUGUUCGGAAUUAUUGGGCGUAAAGAGCGCGUAGGCGGUUUGCUAAGUCUGGUGUGAAAUCCCUCGGCUUAACUGAGGAAGUGCAUUGGAUACUGGCAGGCUUGAGUGCGAGAGAGGAGAGUGGAAUUCCUGGUGUAGCGGUGAAAUGCGUAGAUAUCAGGAGGAACACCGGUGGCGAAGGCGGCUCUCUGGAUCGUAACUGACGCUGAGGCGCGAAAGCAUGGGGAG